UUUAAAUGUAAAAAAAUUCUAAAGGAUUAAUAGUUAUGUUCUUAAAAAUUAAAAAAUUUGGCGGUAUUUUAGUCUUUUCAGAGGAACCUGUUCUAUAAUUGAUAGUCCACGAUAAAUUUGACUUGUGUUUUAAAUUUUCAUAUCGUUGUAGUUUGAAUAUUUUAGGAGAAAUUAAAUAUUCAUGAUUUUAUAAUUUUAAAAGAAAAUCAGAUCAAGAUGUAGUUUAUAUACAAGAAGAAAUGGGUUACAAUAUAUUUAUAUAUAAUGAAUAAUAAAUUGAAAAAUUUAUUUGAAGGUGGAUUUGAAAGUAAUUUUAUUUAUUUUUUUAAAAUGAUUUAAGCUCUAAAAUGUGU
This 353-nucleotide ribosomal RNA is filed under the name Aphanocephalus sp. CO936. RNAcentral's name for it is "partial 12S ribosomal RNA". Lineage: Eukaryota; Metazoa; Arthropoda; Insecta; Coleoptera; Discolomatidae. The record is from RNAcentral.